RNAcentral lists this ribosomal RNA (464 nucleotides) under uncultured bacterium. RNAcentral describes it as "partial 16S ribosomal RNA". It matches the Rfam family "Bacterial small subunit ribosomal RNA", at positions 28 to 507 of the family's 1533-position model. The record is from RNAcentral.
GACGAACGCUGGCGGCGUGCUUAACACAUGCAAGUCGAACGGAAAGGCCCCUUUGGGGGUACUCGAGUGGCGAACGGGUGAGUAACACGUGAGUAACCUGCCCUUGACUUCGGGAUAACUUCAGGAGACUGGGGCUAAUACCGGAUAGGAAUCCUUGCUGCAUGGUGGGGGUUGGAAAGCUUCGGCGGUUUUGGAUGGACUCGCGGCUUAUCAGCUUGUUGGUGGGGUAGUGGCUUACCAAGGCUUUGACGGGUAGCCGGCCUGAGAGGGCGACCGGCCACAUUGGGACUGAGAUACGGCCCAGACUCCUACGGGAGGCAGCAGUGGGGAAUAUUGCACAAUGGGCGGAAGCCUGAUGCAGCAACGCCGCGUGCGGGAUGACGGCCUUCGGGUUGUAAACCGCUUUCAGCAGGGGCGAAGCUUUUGUGACGGUACCUGCAGAAGAAGCACCGGCUAACUACGUG